UCUGAAGGCAACAAUUGGAAUACCAAGGUUCAUCAUGGCAAUGCUGAGAAGUCUGCUGCUUCUUUUUAUUGUAUUCUCCAUGGGGAAUGCAGAUGCUGAGAUAGCUGAAAAAUGCCCCAAUGGAUGGACAAUUUUUGGAGUCCGAUGCUUCAAGUACUUCUCUCAGUCGGUUAACUGGAUCACAGCAGAGAGAAAUUGCUAAGG
This is a long non-coding RNA of Cyprinus carpio (common carp), 204 nucleotides long. RefSeq lists it as uncharacterized. The transcript is spliced from 4 exons. Lineage: Eukaryota; Metazoa; Chordata; Actinopteri; Cypriniformes; Cyprinidae. The record is from RefSeq and is a predicted model, not a curated record.